This 368-nucleotide ribosomal RNA is filed under the name uncultured organism. RNAcentral's name for it is "bacterial SSU rRNA". It matches the Rfam family "Bacterial small subunit ribosomal RNA", at positions 526 to 896 of the family's 1533-position model. The record is from RNAcentral.
CGGAGGAUGCAAGCGUUAUCCGGAUUCAUUGGGUUUAAAGGGUGCGUAGGCGGCCUUUUAAGUCAGUGGUGAAAUCCUGCCGCUUAACGGUAGAAUUGCCAUUGAUACUGAAAGGCUUGAGUUCAGUUGAGGUAAGCGGAAUGUGUAGUGUAGCGGUGAAAUGCUUAGAUAUUACACAGAACACCAAUUGCGAAGGCAGCUUACUAAACUGACACUGACGCUGAUGCGCGAAAGCGUGGGGAGCGAACAGGAUUAGAUACCCUGGUAGUCCACGCCGUAAACGAUGUUCACUCGCUGUUUGCGAUACACAGCAAGCGGCCAAGCGAAAGCAUUAAGUGAACCACCUGGGGAGUACGAUCGCAAGGUUG